Molecule: non-coding RNA, 3484 nt
Organism: Peromyscus maniculatus bairdii (prairie deer mouse)
Lineage: Eukaryota; Metazoa; Chordata; Mammalia; Rodentia; Cricetidae
Source: RefSeq, a predicted model, not a curated record
UAAGAUGAUGAGCAUUGAAGAACCUCAAUAUGGAAUUUGCUUUCUUUGUGGCAAAAGCCACUGUGCAAGAAACUGCCUUUGCCUCAACUGCUGACAGUGUGCUGUCCAAAGUAGACAAGCAGGUCACAAAAGAAGACAACUAGCAAACUUUGCCCAAACAAGUAGGGCAGUCCUUCAAAAUCCUGCUUCACAGAAAAGUCUGUCAGUUAUUCUAGGCCUGCGGGCCGAAGAUAGAUGCCCCCAUGUUGCAGAGUACCCUUGAGCGACUGUCCAGGCAGCCCACCAUCUCUGUCAUUUCUACAGUUUUGGAAGUUGUCUGCUCUGCACUUCCUGUUUACUCAGGUGACUCCUUGGACUGUCACAUGACUUCCUGGAUAGAUAAAGAGGUUACCGACAGACAGAACAGGACUCUGUCCAGCUUGGCAAACCAGAAUGUCAGCCGCCGCAUUACCGCAGACUCAGUUGUCAGCUGCAGUGCCCUGUUUCCGUCCUUGCCCAGACUGUGCCAGGAGCUUCCUUCGGUCCCUACAGCAGCUCUGCUGGGUGAACCUGGGGGGACAGCUUCUUAGAGGACCUGGAUAAGAGGGAGUAGAGCUCAUGGAGCCCCAGCGCACAGCUCUGCUGAGACUCCUUGGACUCAAAUGACCAUGGAACCAGAAGUGAGUUCAAGAUAAGUCUUUUAGGGGAUUGAGGGAUGGCUCAGAGGACCCAAGUUCGACUCCCAGCACCCCUUACUGCCUGUAACUCCAGCUCCAGGUGAUCCCACACUCUCUUCUGGCCUCUGAGGGCACUGCACACACAUGUACUAACAUUCACUCCCUGUCUCUCGUCUGUCUCUCUGUCUCUGUCUCUCCCCCUACACACAUAAUUAAAACUACAAUUUAAAAAAAUAAGUCUUACACUUGUGUGGUAGUCAGACAUCAGGCUUAACAAUAUGAUGUCCCUAUCUACUCUAGAAGCCCAUUCCUCAAAGUUGUCUACAGAUCUCCACUGCUGUCCUUCUGAAAAACUACUUUAUUAUUAUUACUCUGUGUGCAUGGCAUGUAUGUCAGGGAAGGCAUGUAGGUGAAGGUCAGAGUCCAACUUUGUGGAAUCAGUUCCCUCCCUCCACCUUUAUGUGGGUUCUAGCAACUGAACUCAGGCCUGCACUGCACUGUUCCAUUAAUUAGGAAAACUGUAUCCUGCAAAUAUAGCAUGUUACUGAAGGGGAAACUGAAUACAGUAUGAGAACUUUGUGUUGUUUUCAUAGUAAUUCAAGACUGUUUUAUAAAAACAGGAGAGAGAGAUGGCCCCUCAGUUAAGAACACUUGCUGUGCUUGCAGAAGACGGGUUCUCAGCACCCAUGAAGGGGGCGUUUACAGCUGCCUUCUCCAGUUCCAGGGGAGUCCACACCCUCUACUGGCCUCCACAGGCAACUGCACCCAUGUGGGCAUACACACACAUACAUAAGUAAAAAAUAAGUUUUAAGUUAGUGUGAGUACAUGAUUUUAGUGACAUGGUGUGCAACCCUGAUUUUAAUUUCACAUUGCCACACAGUCUUUAAUCUGUUUUGGUCACAUGACUAUUGAAUGUGGAAGCUCCCCCAUGAGCUCUGUACAUUGUGCUCAUGGAUCAAGAUGUGAGCUCUCAGCCGCUGCUUUAAACACCUUCCUUCUGGACAUAAGCUCAGCUGAACUCUGUCUUUUAUAAGUUGCCUCGAUUAUGUUUUAUCACAGCAAUAGAAAAAAAACUAUAUAGGCUACUACAUCCAGCUUUUCACUUUUUUUGAGACAGUGUCUCAUGCUGUAUUUCAGCCUGGAACUCACUGCAUAGCCAAGGCUGACCUUGAACUUGCAGCAAUCCUUCUGCCUCAGCUUACUGUGUGCUAGGAUUUCCAAGGUGAGCCAUCAUGCCUGACUCAGGAGGACAUCUCCUCAAUGCCAGAGUCCCACAGCCUAGAUUUUAAUCCUGGUUCUAUUACUACCUAGGGACAGGCUUCUGGUCUAUUGACUGGUCCCACCCCACAAACAGAAAAAACAAAAACAAAACCAAGCAGAAAGCACAGCGGAUGGUGAGCUCACCUCUUUGGUUUACACUGGUCACUCUUAUACCCCCAAGAUAGAUGUAGGCAUGAGCACACUGCUUAGAGUCUGGACUCAGGUCCUGCCCCUUCCAUGCCCAGCUGUUCCCUCUUCCUUACUCUUGCUGAGACCAGCUAGGGGUCAGAAGGAGGUUACCGGCCUCCAGCAGCAUGGGGUCUGGGAUGGUCCUGGGGACCCCAAGGCUAAUUGAUGACUUGCUUUCUGGUCAGUUGAAAGACAGAGCUAACCCCGCUCUGUCUCAGAGGUAGAAAGGGACAGGGGCAUGGAGGUGGCUCAGCAGGAAACAUGCUUGCUGUGCAAGAACAGGGACCUGAGUUUUCAUACCCAGCACACAAACGAACACACAGCCAGGCACUGCAGACCUGUAAUCCCAGUGUUGGGGAAUAAUCUUUUUGUAUGCUGUGAAAUGUGCCGCUCUGAUUGGUUUCAUCAAAAGCUGAGUGGCAAAUAGCUAGACAGGACUUCCAGGCACAGGGAGAGCUGAGGAGAAGAAGGGCAGAGACACCAGGAGAUACAGAGCAGGCAGCAUGGCAUUAUAGAGUAAAAGAGGCCGAGCCACAUAAAAGAAUGCAGAUUAAAAGAUAUGGGUUAAUUUAAGUUAUAAGAACUAGUUAGAAACAAGCCUAAGCUAUCGACCAAACUUUUAUAAUUAAUAAUAAGUCUUCUUGUUGUUAUUGGGGAGCCAAUGGUCCCAAUGAACAAGUCUGACUACAUCCCAGUGCCAGAGGGUGGAGACAGGUGGAUCCCUGGGGCUUGUUGGCCAGCUGGCCUAGCCAAAUUGGUGGGCUCCAGGAUCAGAGAGGUGCUGGUUUUUUUGUUUGUUUGUUUGUUUGUUUUUUUAAUAUACAGGGAUACUGGACUUACAGACUUGUAUUCACACCCUUGGUCACCUUCACAGGCCUCACCUGUCUGAGGACUACAGGAGACAGUUCCUGGGAAAGUGCCUAUCAAGGGACCUGGCAUGUAGCAUGCUUCAGUACAAAGAUACACUUGAAUCUGAGAUGCCUGAUAUUUGUUUUUAACUGCUUGCUCUCCUGCCUAUAAAGGGUGGUCUAUCAGUACCGGGUUCAGUGUGAGGUACCAGGGGAAGGAACUCUCCGGAGAAUACAGGCGUCAUGACUGCUGCAUACUUACCCAUUUUCAUUCCUGUGCUCUCCGACCCUCAGAUCAAGGACCUUUCAAACUAAUCAUAGGUCUGUUCCUGCUGUGGAUGAUUGAUUGAUCAAUAAAACACUGAUUGAUGUAGUGGGUAGCCAUUCCAGCUUUGGUCUGGAAGUUCCAACCCCCAUUUGGUAACAGUUUUGGUAAUUAUCAUGCCCACAAGGCGGGGCCAAGGGAGGGCCUGAAGACCCCAGAUCGGGAAGUGCCACGCUCUCUUGCUGCUGGGAGCCCAGACGCUAGAG